RNAcentral lists this unclassified non-coding RNA (257 nucleotides) under Glomeraceae sp. RNAcentral's name for it is "partial contains 5.8S ribosomal RNA and internal transcribed spacer 2". The stretch from base 1 to 65 matches the Rfam family "5.8S ribosomal RNA", at positions 84 to 154 of the family's 154-position model. The record is from RNAcentral. Lineage: Eukaryota; Fungi; Glomeromycota; Glomeromycetes; Glomerales; Glomeraceae.
GUGAAUCAUCGAAUUUUUGAACGCAAAUUGCACUCUCCUCGGAGAGCAUGCCUGCUUGAGGGUCAGCCUAUAAAAAUCGACAUCGUUGCUGUUCUGCGGUGACGUUCGUCGGAAGUUGGGUUAUCUUAAACCUUUUGGUUUAAGCGACUUAAAAUUUUACUCUUGAUUCCAUGAACGUUUCUAAGAUUUAUUUUUUUAUACGUUUAAGGUAUCGAUUUUUAUUAGACGUGGCCGUCAUAGCGGAUCGCGCCUAUAAU